RNAcentral lists this ribosomal RNA (592 nucleotides) under uncultured bacterium. RNAcentral describes it as "bacterial SSU rRNA". It matches the Rfam family "Bacterial small subunit ribosomal RNA", at positions 73 to 664 of the family's 1533-position model. The record is from RNAcentral.
AUUGUCUUCGGACAGAUGACGACCGGCGCACGGGUGCGUAACACGUAUACAACCUACCCCUGAGAGAGGGAUAGCCCAGAGAAAUUUGGAUUAAUAUCUCAUAGUAUUAACGGAUUGCAUAUUCUGUUAAUUAAAGCUCCGGCGUUCAGGGAUGGGUAUGCGUCUGAUUAGCUAGUUGGUGAGGUAACGGCUCACCAAGGCAACGAUCAGUAGCUGGUCUGAGAGGAUGAUCAGCCACACGGGAACUGAGACACGGUCCCGACUCCUACGGGAGGCAGCAGUGAGGAAUAUUGGACAAUGGGCGCAAGCCUGAUCCAGCCAUGCCGCGUGAAGGAUGACGGUCCUAGUUGAUUGUAAACUUCUUUUGAAUGGGACUAAUAAGGUGCUAUACGCACCGAUGCAGGUACCAUUAGAAUAAGCGCCGGCUAACUACGUGCCAGCAGCCGCGGUAAUACGUAGGGCGCAAGCGUUGUCCGGAUUUAUUGGGUUUAAAGGGUGUGUAGGCGGUUAAUUAAGUCAGUGGUAAAAGGCUAUAGCUCAACUAUAGUAUGCCAUUGAUACUGGUUAACUUGAGUUCGACAGAGGAAACUGG